CGCACCGGGCCUGCCGAGGAGCGCGCGCCCGGCCGGGCUCGGCGCCGGUUCCCCGAGCCUGGGCGGCCGCCGGGCAGCCCCCUCGUCGGACCAUGGCGACUGACAUCACUCCUGAAGCCAUUGGCUUCUUGUCUGCUGUUGGGGUCUUUAUUGUUCUUCUGGCUGUCCUCUUCCUCUUCAUCAACAAGAAGCUGUGUUUUGAAACAAUAGGAGGCCUUCCUUUCCUGGAGCAUCGAGGGAAAAGAAAGCACUCUAAAGACAAGACUGGGAUUCACAAGGGGCUGGCUGGAAGUUUUGAGAGUGAAAUAUUCACAGCCAUUAAGAGACCUCCAAAUUAAUUUCUCAACAUGCUUAUUCUAUAGUUCACAUUUAAUCCAGAGCACUGAAGGAACUGAACAAGUGGACACUGUAGACAUCAGAUAGCUGGCCAUGGUGUUGGCCAUGGCGUCUCAGGAUGCUCAGAACUUCUUCCAGCCUUUCUCUUCCUGGAUAUCUCGGGUUUAUGAAGCUCUCCAGCAAGCAGGAGAUAUGUUAUCUGCUUCGCUGGUUAACAUAAGCAAACAAGACUCUAAAUUGAGUGACAAACUAGAUCAGGACUUAGAUAAUAUUCAGAUUCAGGAAACGUACUUUGAAGAUGAAGAACAAGACAAUGAUUGGAGUCAAGAGGAUGCAAAUUCCUUGUUUCUUGAAGUGGAUCAUUUCUCAUGUUGUAAUAGUGAUUUGCAGGACUCUGCCCAAAAUUCAAGCCCAAGGCUUAGCCAACAUGCAAAGGACUCCUGUUCCACAAUGUCCCAGUGGCCCAAUUGGGCCAGUGAUGACCACAAGUUACCACAUGUGCUUUCUUCUAUUGCGGAGGAAGAGCAUCACCUU
This 870-nucleotide small RNA is filed under the name Pongo abelii (Sumatran orangutan). RNAcentral's name for it is "processed transcript". Lineage: Eukaryota; Metazoa; Chordata; Mammalia; Primates; Hominidae. The record is from RNAcentral.